Molecule: long non-coding RNA, 2041 nt
Filed under: Androctonus crassicauda
Lineage: Eukaryota; Metazoa; Arthropoda; Arachnida; Scorpiones; Buthidae
Source: RNAcentral
GGAUUGUUUAGGACUUGAUUUGUUUUGCUUUAUAUAAGAUAAAUAUAUUAUUCUAUUUACUGAUUUUAAGCAUAUUUUAAAAUAUUUAUAUUAUUGUUGCUUAUAAAAUAUUUGAUAUUAAUUAAAUAUUUAAUAAGAUUAUCAAUUUACCAUCCCACGUCAUUGUUCCAGCAACUUCCAUCCACAAUUUUAUCUUCAGUAUUUUGUCUUUGUAUUCAGAAAGACGUUUUUGCCACAGUUCAGGUCUACAAAUCAUCGUAGAAAUUAAUUUCUGUUUUUCUUCUAUUUCAGUUUUCUUUUUUGACUGAUAUGUCGCCGUAAUGGUGUUAUUCUACUUGAAAAUAUUUCCCAAGUUCCCGUGUGACGAAAUCUAAAAUGGUAUUACAACUCUGAAAAUCGCUAAUUUUGAUCGAAAAUAUCCAAUCGGAUUGGAUAUAUGUGAAAAUGUCGUUUCUCGCCAAAUUAUAUCCAUUCUGCGAAUAAUGCUAACACGUGCAAUAACAUUGUGAUAGCGUCUGCGACAAAAUACCGAUGAUGAUCGCAUAUUGCUUCUCGUUUCUCGCAAAUCGCUAUGUGAAACCGCCUUAAUGCGGGAAAAAUGGGAAUAAUAUUGGAUUUCCUAUAUUAUUUAUCCUAUCGGCAUUUAAAUGAAACAUUAAUUAUAAGAAAUUCGUUAUCCUCUUCAAUUGAGCCAUUCGAAAUUACCUGCUAUAAAAUAUAUACGCGAUUAUAUAAAGGUGUUAUUGCAUUGCGCUACAAUCGAGGCAGCAAUCCGAUUUCAUUCAUUCAUAUAUUAUCAUCCUUCUCCAACAUGUUCCAACUUUCAAGGCGCAUCCCCUCGGAAUAAAUAAUCGAUCAUUCUAUUGAGAAAAAGUUAUUUUCUGAGGAUUUUGGCUUUUUACCAGAUAACAAAAGAAAAAACGUAAUUUUUGCCGAUACUUCCGGCGUCGUUGCGAGUGCUUUCUUUAGACAACGACGGGUUUUGGUCAAUGGAGGGUGCGCCUCAGGGUCCUCGGCCUGGGAUCUUGUUCUACCGUAUGUUCUCCUGUCAGUGUGAGAAAAAUACGUCACUAUCACGAACAGUCACAAGCGGUGUGCCUGGAACUACCACCAUCACUUUGUCUAUACAUUGUUUUAACAAGAAGAUAUUCUUAUGCCCUUUUUACCUCAUAUGUAGCUCCAGCCUUGUCCUCCUCUACAUCAUCGGGUUGAUGUCGAAGUACGGAGCAGCCCCAACAUCCUCUUCCGCGUUGACACCAAUCGGCCGGAGCUGUAUGAGUUUCAUGCCAGGCCCUCGCUAUACUCGGCCCGCGUUUGCUAAAAAGUACCGGAAUUUGGCACCAAAUAUCGGGCAUGUCGAUAAGACCCGACAACUGCAUGUAUUGUUUUAGGGCUAUAUCGCUACGCAAGGAUUUGGUAGUUUUCUGGGAAAAAAAGAAGACAUCUAUUGGAUAUAGCCGUCGUGCCGUCGCGUGAUAAUGAAAAUUACUAUGCCGAAAGUUACAACGCCGUUUCUGUCGGUGGCUUAUACUUAUCUUCAGAUAUCUGUUUCGGAUCUUCGUUUUGAGUGCGGGCAGUAGGAUCCGAGACGGAAACGAAUCUGGAAAAUAUAGGGACGGCUAUAACUUGGACACACUACACGUUAUCAGUGGUUAUCUGUAACGGCCGUCAUCACACCGGCCUUUAGCCGAAAGAAUACCGAAUACAUUGGUAUUCCAAGCGGCAGUUAAACAUAAUGCAUUGUGGGAUGGUAAAGACUACUACAGUGUAACCGCUGAUAGAGAAUAAAUUCCUAUCAUAUGUUUAUUUGUUGCUUACUUAUAUUGUUUCGAUAAACAGUGCCAUUUAUUUUUUAUUUCUUCUACUGAUCCGUUGACACCACGAUUUUCCGAUAAUUGCUUCACCGUGUUAUCUUUUCGCUCUCCUUAGAUCAUCGAUAGAUCACUCCAAAUAUUUAUUAAUGCUUUGGUUUCUCUUUCAUCUCACCAAACCUUUUCUUUUGACCGCUUGUCUGGGAAGCGAGUUCUCUGUGGAUGCCAUU